This is a long non-coding RNA of Zerene cesonia (dogface butterfly), 3987 nucleotides long. RefSeq lists it as uncharacterized. The record is from RefSeq and is a predicted model, not a curated record. NCBI's taxonomy places the organism in Eukaryota, Metazoa, Arthropoda, Insecta, Lepidoptera, Pieridae. The transcript is spliced from 3 exons.
CAGUGGGGCUUCGGACGCCGCGCGACCUGGACGUAUCGUCCCCCGCCCCUGUAAAUCCCACAAUAAAUAAUUUUCACUUAACUCGUGAUGCGCAAAUAUUCCUGUCAUACGCCAUUAAUCCCGUUUCCCGCCCACUGAGUGAUCGCUUUGUGCUGUUUUGUGGAGUUGUGAUUGAACCGUUGGAGCCGCUGCACAAGGGUUGUGAUGAAGACAGGUUAUUUUAAAAAUUCAACGAUUUACGAUUACGGUUAUAAACUAUGACCGAAAAAACCCAAAGAUCGCAUUAUCAAGUACAUAACUGCGAGCUGCGAAGGCUUCUUACGAACUCAUCUAGCAGAUAACUACAUCGUAUUGUCUGCAACCGUUUCUGGGCUUGGUAACUCCACCACCGUUGGCGUUAGUCAUCGCCAACGGGGGAAGAGUUCCUGCUCCUAGACGCGAUGCUCUACUGAGGCCAGUUACUCGGGCUCCUAUUAAGGCGAGCCUUACGGUGGUAAAAAGGAUUUCUCGGGGAACUGACGAAAGAACAAGGAGAAGAUUACAUGCUGAUUGACGGAAUUUGAAGCCCGGUGAUGAUAUAAAAGGAAUUUAUGUGGGCUACAAUUAAUAUUUGUAAUAAUAUUAUACAUAAUAAUUGACUUUAUUGUUUAAAAUAUUCACAUUUACUAUAAUCUGUAAUAUGUAUUUAUAUACUUAUUAUUUUUAAUGUCGGAUUUGUGUCUCAAGCAGACAGAAGUUAAGGUUAACAAUGCUUUAAUUAUUGAAAAACAUACAAAUUACUUUACUUGAAAGCUAGUGCAUGACCUACUUAAAUUUGGUCUACUUCUAACGGUUUAAAUGAGUUUGAGUUGGGGGUGACACUUUUUCAUACGAGAGAUGGUCCAGAUUCCUGAUGUCCUGAUUUCGGACCUUCCUCUAGACUCCUUAUAUUUGUAGUUCUGGUUAUCAUAUAAAAACAACUCAAAUUGUAAAAGGGUAAAUAAAUAGUAAUACAGUUAAAACUUAGUUUUAUUUACACAGCCCAAUACUAUACAUUAUCUAUGAAACUGUUAAAGACAGUUAGCCAAAUAGCCUUACAAUAAUUAUAACAUAAGUUAUUGGUUAUCACUCUCUUCACAUAUUUUCUAAUUAAACAGUUACUGAUUAAGUAUGAGUUUUAUUAUAUAUUUGCAUCAUGACGUCAUGGAAUAAUCUUAUGAAAUUAUGUAAGGGGAUGCUUCAUUCUAAUCUUCAAUUGUUAUAAAUAUAGCAUUUAAAAUACACGAAAUGUGAAUAAAGUAUAUUAAUUUGUCAUAGUAUUCAGUGCCAGUUUUGUGACUGAUUUAAUCACUAACUUAAUGAACAUGUUUGAGUUAGAUUUUCUAAUCAUUUGAACUGAACGUAAUAGAACAUUCCCAAUAGUUGUUAGUGACUUUUAAUUUCGGAAGCUGUCAAAGUGACAUUUCACGCAUAUGCGCCAUUUUGUUGAAUCACAUUUCUCGUAUAUAACUUGCAGUUAUGAGCCUGCCGAUGAUAUACAAAAUUGGCGGUACUUCCGAAUUCCGAAUACUUCCGACUACUUUCCGAAUACCUUUGAAAACCUGAAACAUCCCCUUUAACAAUAUAUAUUAUUACCGUCAUCUAUUAUGUGUACAUAAUCAGGUUUAGCUCUAUUAUUGCUCACAUAUUACGGACGUCAAAGUCUAGCGGAUGUGUUACCUACAUAAAAGAGUCAAAAGGACUCCUUGCUUAUAAUAAACGAUACAAAAAUAUAUCCUUUGAAAGAAACUUUAAGAGAUGAAUACAUGUUACUCGAAGGGCUAACGUUACCCUAAACAUCUAUAAUAGUAUUUAUAUAGAAACUAGCCAGCCCUUGGCUUCGCCUGCAUAGUUUAAGGAGAAAAUACAGUCGUGUUUUCGGGAUUUCCAGGAUAAAAAUCCCUUUCCCUAUUACACGCGGUUUAUGCAUAAAGAAUAUUCAGCUACUUUCUAUAUAACAUGACCCAGAUUAAUCGUUCAAAAAUACGAAGUCCGUUGUCCCUUUGUGGCGUAAAGGGCAAGUACAUUUCGGUAUUCGGUACACUUGACUUGGUGGAAAAAAAAACUUAGAUUUAUAAUUUGCCUGACCGAUACUUUUUAUAGUAUAUAAGGGAUGAUGUACUAAAACCAAUCAAACCAAUUGAUUUUAUUUAUUAAUUAUUUUGGCUAUUAUUUCAACCCACACCCUCUACAUUAAGGAUACCUAGUACCUAGUAUCUAGGUUGUCUAUGAAUUGAUAACUCCUAGUGUAUAAGUCUAUAACCACUAGUGAAAAAGGAAAUAUCUAUGGACGAUGAAUGUAUAUAUGAAGCUGUCUCUUUCUCUCAUUCAACAGUGUUUUUGCUAGAGUGAGAAAGCCAAUCACCGCAAUCACACAAAAUAAAUUAUAGAGGAAAAUAAUAAGUAUUUAAGAACGCUAACGAUUAUCAUUAACUUGAAUUCGAAAACAGCUUGUGAAUAGCCGAUUUUAAAAAUAAAAAAUAAUUCUUCAAAACAAAAAAAAAAAGAUCUUCCAUGAAUAAUAUAAUCAGUAAUUAGACAGUAAUCAAAGUAACCGUAAUAUAAACUAAAGACUUUACAACGGCUUGGUAAUUAACUAAAUCAAAGCGCAUUUCGAACAAGCGAAGUCACGGGAAAUGUAUUGUAGACUUGUAAUGAAUACUCGAAAAAAAAUCAAACUGCAAAAAUGUUAUAACAGUUCCAAUACAAAGUCUAGAAUAUAAGGUAAAUGAACCAAACAUCGACACAUUGCAUUUUUAGGAAGACAUAAUGUGUGUAGGCCCCUACUCAUAAACAUAAUUUAAUCAUGUUCGUCAACAUAUUUGCCACAAAUUAAGUUAGUCAUGUCUCUCUCAUAUUGUAGUAGUUUGACUUAAGUUAGAAAUAAAGGUAAGUGUCGAUUUUAACUGUUUAUAAGUAAGAGGCUACACGUAGCUGUAAAUUUUACAAGCUCGCAUGAACAAUUUAAUGUGUGUCUUUUGGCAAACCUUAUGCUUACAAACCGAAUAGUUGACAGUGGUUGAAUAAAAAAAAACUAAUAAAAGAAAAUACUGGAUAGAGGCUGUAUACAAAAAUAAAACCUAAAUCCAUCAUACAAUUAUAAGAAUAACACAGGAAAUAUUCGUAAGAUAGUAAAAUACACUAUACAGUAGAAUAUUGAUUGCGAAUAAAAAAAUAAAAUAAAAUAAUAGUUAAUUAAAUACCUGAUGCCUUAUAGCAAUACUAUUAUUAAUAAAUAUUGUUCAUGCUUGCUUGUCAUGCAUACAGCAUCAUGUAUACUAGAAAAUUUUAGGGUUAUAUUGUAUGACGUUUACUUUAAAUAGAUUUUUCUUCAAAGUGGAUAUGACGGUAGCGAUUUGAUAACAUUUUAUAUGCAUUUAUAUUCAUACGAAAUAUUUCUCGUAUGAUAUAAGUGUUAUAUAUAUAAUAACAGGUAAUUUUUAAGGAGUGUGUGGGUAUGUUCCUAAUAUAUUUAAAUACAUUAAUUCUAUUAAAUAUCUAUGCCAAGGAACUUUAAUUACGAGACAUGUAAAAUAUUUUACAAGCAUCUAGUUUUGUUCAUACAUCAGGGAUUUGAUAACAUACAUUAAAAUAUAUGUAAUAGACCAUUUCUCAUUCUUUUGUAAUAAAUAAAACAAAAAACAUAUAUGGAGUUACGCAUUUAUUACAAUAUGUUUAUUUACGAACAAUGUGUGUGAUUUUUAAUUGUGAUAUAAUUUCUGUAAAUAAUAAUAUUAGCAUACCGUCAUACCGACUUUGAAAAAAUACCAGCUGCAUCUAUAUUAUUUGUCAUACAUAUGAAUAAAACUGUAUUAAAACAGUUUUAGCAGUAAAUAAAAUACAUUUUCGUAUACAAAUUUGAACUAAAAUAAUUAAAGUCAAUUCGAUAAAUGACUGCGUACCAUUUUACUUAAUUGGUAACCGAUAGUAAAAAAAAAACAUCGUUAUUUCACAAAAUUUCACAAUAAA